Molecule: unclassified non-coding RNA, 200 nt
Filed under: soil metagenome
Description: partial contains internal transcribed spacer 2 and large subunit ribosomal RNA
Source: RNAcentral
UGCCUGUUCGAGCGUCAUUGCAACCCUCAAGCACUGCUUGGUAUUGGAUGCCACUAUUUUAGUGUGUCUCAAAAGUAUUAGUGGCGGCAUUUAGCUUCUAGCAUAGUAAAUUUCUUGCUCUGGAGCUUGGAUGUCUACCUGCCAGAACCCACAUUUCAAAGGUUGACCUCGGAUCAGGUAGGGAUACCCGCUGAACUUAA